AGGCUCCACCACUGUCAGUCCUGAAACAUCAACUAGACCAAUGAUGACUUCUGCUAGGAGCAGUCCAGGGACCCCUGCACCGUCAGCUGGUGAAACAACUGGAGCCUCAGCCCAGCCUGGAGAAGAAUCAGCAACAACUCAAGUUUCUACAGGUGUAACCAAAACAACAGACAAAGAUAAAGGAAAUGCCAAUGACCUACCAUUCAGAGGAG
Molecule: long non-coding RNA, 212 nt
Organism: Peromyscus leucopus (white-footed mouse)
Lineage: Eukaryota; Metazoa; Chordata; Mammalia; Rodentia; Cricetidae
Exons: 3
Source: RefSeq, a predicted model, not a curated record